Molecule: transfer RNA, 76 nt
Filed under: Lysobacteraceae bacterium
Lineage: Bacteria; Pseudomonadati; Pseudomonadota; Gammaproteobacteria; Lysobacterales; Lysobacteraceae
Description: Xanthomonadaceae bacterium tRNA-Lys
Rfam family: tRNA
About the family: Transfer RNA (tRNA) molecules are approximately 80 nucleotides in length. Their secondary structure includes four short double-helical elements and three loops (D, anti-codon, and T loops). Further hydrogen bonds mediate the characteristic L-shaped molecular structure. tRNAs have two regions of fundamental functional importance: the anti-codon, which is responsible for specific mRNA codon recognition, and the 3' end, to which the tRNAs corresponding amino acid is attached (by aminoacyl-tRNA synthetases). tRNAs cope with the degeneracy of the genetic code in two manners: having more than one tRNA (with a specific anti-codon) for a particular amino acid; and 'wobble' base-pairing, i.e. permitting non-standard base-pairing at the 3rd anti-codon position.
Source: RNAcentral
GGGUCGUUAGCUCAGUUGGUAGAGCAGCGGACUUUUAAUCCGUAGGUCGAAGGUUCGAGUCCUUCACGACCCACCA